AGGGACCUUCGGGCCUCUUGCCAUCGGAUGUGCCCAGAUGGGAUUAGCUAGUAGGUGGGGUAACGGCUCACCUAGGCGACGAUCCCUAGCUGGUCUGAGAGGAUGACCAGCCACACUGGAACUGAGACACGGUCCAGACUCCUACGGGAGGCAGCAUG
RNAcentral lists this ribosomal RNA (158 nucleotides) under uncultured bacterium. RNAcentral describes it as "partial 16S ribosomal RNA". It matches the Rfam family "Bacterial small subunit ribosomal RNA", at positions 202 to 353 of the family's 1533-position model. The record is from RNAcentral.